CAACGCGGGGCGGAGCGAUCGGGGUGUCAAUCACAGUCGGGGGCGGGAUAGACGAGUUCACCUCGUCUCGCGCUCUUCCCCCGGGUCCCGCCCCUGCGCGCCGCACCGAGCGACUUCCAAGAACUCCCAGCGUAGUCAGUGACUUGGGCCACGCCCCUCGCCCCCCAAACCGGUCUCUUCCGGACCGGAUUCCGCCCAGGCUCUCCGCGCCGGGCGCCCCCCCCCCCCCCACAAAGCACGCCCCGCGGAUGCGGGAGUGGGACUUAGGGUCCGGGCCGGAAGGCGGAGGCCGCGCCGGGGCGUGUGGGGCUGGGGGCCUGAUCGAAUCAGGCUGCUGAAGCUCCCCACGUGCCCAGAGGAGCCCAGAACCCCACACCGGCGUCCACGGGGAACCAGAGCCCCCGCAGCAGUGUCUCGUGGCGCUCGGAUCCACACACGUGUGCUCAGGGGGGUCCACA
Molecule: long non-coding RNA, 458 nt
Organism: Neofelis nebulosa (Clouded leopard)
Lineage: Eukaryota; Metazoa; Chordata; Mammalia; Carnivora; Felidae
Exons: 2
Source: RefSeq, a predicted model, not a curated record